This 925-nucleotide ribosomal RNA is filed under the name uncultured bacterium. RNAcentral describes it as "bacterial SSU rRNA". It matches the Rfam family "Bacterial small subunit ribosomal RNA", at positions 8 to 948 of the family's 1533-position model. The record is from RNAcentral.
AGAGUUUGAUCCUGGCUCAGGACGAACGCUGGCGGCGUGCUUAACACAUGCAAGUCGAGCGAUGAAACACCUUCGGGUGUGAAUUAGCGGCGAACGGGUGAGGAACACGUGAAGAAUCUGCCUUCAACUCUGGGAUAACUCCGGGAAACCGGGGCUAAUACCGGAUAUGAGCCUCGAUCGCAUGAUUGGGGCUGGAAAGUUUUUCGGUUGAAGAUGACUUCGCGGCCUAUCAGCUUGUUGGUGAGGUAAUGGCUCACCAAGGCGACGACGGGUAGCCGGCCUGAGAGGGCGACCGGCCACACUGGGACUGAGACACGGCCCAGACUCCUACGGGAGGCAGCAGUGGGGAAUAUUGGGCAAUGGAGGAAACUCUGACCCAGCGACGCCGCGUGAGGGAUGAAGGCCUUCGGGUUGUAAACCUCUUUCAGUAGGGAAGAAGCGAAAGUGACGGUACCUACAGAAGAAGCACCGGCUAACUAUGUGCCAGCAGCCGCGGUAAUACAUAGGGUGCAAGCGUUGUCCGGAAUUAUUGGGCGUAAAGAGCUCGUAGGUGGUUCGAUACGUCGGAUGUGAAAAUCAGGGGCUCAACCCCUGACCUGCAUCCGAUACGGUCGAGCUAGAGUUUGGUAGGGGAGACUGGAAUUCCUGGUGUAGCGGUGGAAUGCGCAGAUAUCAGGAGGAACACCGAUGGCGAAGGCAGGUCUCUGGGCCAAUACUGACACUGAGGAGCGAAAGCGUGGGGAGCGAACAGGAUUAGAUACCCUGGUAGUCCACGCCGUAAACGGUGGGCGCUAGUUGUGCGAACCUUCCACGGUUUGUGCGACGCAGCUAACGCAUUAAGCGCCCCGCCUGGGGAGUACGAUCGCAAGAUUAAAACUCAAAGGAAUUGACGGGGCCCCGCACAAGCAGCGGAGCAUGCGGCUUA